Molecule: transfer RNA, 64 nt
Filed under: Salmo salar (Atlantic salmon)
Lineage: Eukaryota; Metazoa; Chordata; Actinopteri; Salmoniformes; Salmonidae
Rfam family: tRNA
About the family: Transfer RNA (tRNA) molecules are approximately 80 nucleotides in length. Their secondary structure includes four short double-helical elements and three loops (D, anti-codon, and T loops).
Source: Rfam by way of RNAcentral
CCUGUAGCUCAGUUGGUAGAGCAUGGUGUUUGCAACGCCAGGGUUGGGGUUCGAUUCCCAUGGG